GUUAAAAAGCUCGUAGUUGGAUUUCUGCGAGGGUGCCAAUGUCCGCCGACGCGCGUGCGCAGCGGCGCCCUCGCAUCCUUCUGUUACCACCUCUCGGCAUUCACUUGCCGGUGGUCGGCUCAGAGAAUUUACCUUGAGAAAAUUAGAGUGUUUCAGGCAGGCUAGGCCGGAAUACAUUAGCAUGGAAUAAUGGAAUAGGACUACGGUCUCGUUGUUGGUUUGAGGGACUGCAGUAAUGAUUAAUAGGGAUAGUUGGGGGCAUUAGUAUUUAAUUGUCAGAGGUGAAAUUCUCGGAUUUGUUAAAGACUAACUUAUGCGAAAGCAUUUGCCAAGGAUGUUUUCAUUAAUCAAGAACGAAAGUUAGGGGAUCAAAGACGAUCAGAUACCGUC
This 390-nucleotide ribosomal RNA is filed under the name uncultured marine eukaryote. RNAcentral's name for it is "SSU rRNA". It matches the Rfam family "Eukaryotic small subunit ribosomal RNA", at positions 618 to 1019 of the family's 1831-position model. The record is from RNAcentral.